Molecule: ribosomal RNA, 497 nt
Filed under: uncultured bacterium
Lineage: Bacteria
Description: partial 16S ribosomal RNA
Rfam family: Bacterial small subunit ribosomal RNA
Source: RNAcentral
GAUGAACGCUGGCGGCGUGCCUAAUACAUGCAAGUCGAGCGAACAGACGAGGAGCUUGCUCCUCUGACGUUAGCGGCGGACGGGUGAGUAACACGUGGAUAACCUACCUAUAAGACUGGGAUAACUUCGGGAAACCGGAGCUAAUACCGGAUAAUAUAUUGAACCGCAUGGGUCAAUAGUGAAAGACGGUUUUGCUGUCACUUAUAGAUGGAUCCGCGCCGCAUUAGCUAGUUGGUAAGGUAACGGCUUACCAAGGCAACGAUGCGUAGCCGACCUGAGAGGGUGAUCGGCCACACUGGAACUGAGACACGGUCCAGACUCCUACGGGAGGCAGCAGUAGGGAAUCUUCCGCAAUGGGCGAAAGCCUGACGGAGCACCGCCGCGUGAGUGAUGAAGGUCUUCGGAUCGUAAAACUCUGUUAUUAGGGAAGAACAAAUGUGUAAGUAACUAUGCACGUCUUGACGGUACCUAAUCAGAAAGCCACGGCUAACUACGUG